Molecule: non-coding RNA, 230 nt
Organism: Pelobates cultripes (western spadefoot toad)
Lineage: Eukaryota; Metazoa; Chordata; Amphibia; Anura; Pelobatidae
Source: the annotation of a GenBank genome assembly
CACGGUAUAGAUAUAAGGGCAAUCAGAACUACACCUCCUGGCAUGUGGGCAUGGGAGGAGGAUUGAAGUGGCGUCGGAGAUGAAAGCAUCACUUCCGGGAUAGCGGUCGCCACUGGAAUGCCAUUAUGGGUAAUGGCCGCGACGGACUAUUGGAGAACGUCAAUUCAAAUGGACCUAUGGGGACAUUGAUGAAGAUACUUAACAUCAGGAGGAAGCAGCUGGUACACUAU